GGAUUAGAUACCCUGGUAGUCCACGCCGUAAACGAUGUCUACUAGCCGUUGGGGUCCUUGAGGCCUUAGUGGCGCAGCUAACGCACUAAGUAGACCGCCUGGGGAGUACGGUCGCAAGAUUAAAACUCAAAUGAAUUGACGGGGGCCCGCACAAGCGGUGGAGCAUGUGGUUUAAUUCGAAGCAACGCGAAGAACCUUACCAGGUCUUGACAUCCAGAGAACUUACUAGAGAUAGUUUGGUGCCUUCGGGAACUCUGUGACAGGUGCUGCAUGGCUGUCGUCAGCUCGUGCCG
Molecule: ribosomal RNA, 293 nt
Filed under: uncultured bacterium
Lineage: Bacteria
Description: partial 16S ribosomal RNA
Rfam family: Bacterial small subunit ribosomal RNA
Source: RNAcentral